CAGGCCUAACACAUGCAAGUCGCGGGAGAAACGUCCCUUCGGGGACAGAGUAAACCGGCGGACGGGUGAGUAACACGUGAGUAACAUACCGUUGAGACGGGGAUAACGAUCCGAAAGGGUUGCUAAUACCGGAUAAAACGACAGAGCCGGGAGGCUACUGUGGUCAAAGGUCCAAGCUACGCUCAACGAUUGGCUCGCGGCCCAUUAGGUAGAUGGUGAGGGUAACGGCCUACCAUGCCGACGAUGGGUAGCUGGUCUGAGAGGAUGAUCAGUCACACUGGGACUGAGACACGGCCCAGACUCCUACGGGAGGCAGCAGUGGGGAAUCUUGCACAAUGGGGGCAACCCUGAUGCAGCGACGCCGCGUGUGUGAAGAAGGCCUUCGGGUUGUAAAGCACUGUCAGGAGGGAAGAAACCGGGCGAGUCCCGUGUGACGGUACCUCCACAGGAAGCACCGGCCAACUCCGUGCCAGCAGCCGCGGUAAUACGGAGGGUGCAAGCGUUGUUCGGAAUCAUUGGCGUAAAGCGUAGGUAGGCGGCCGGGCAAGUCUGAUGUGAAAGCCCAGAGCUCAACUCUGGAGGCGCAUUGGAAACUGUCUGGCUUGAGUCCGGGAAGGGCCAGUGGAAUUCGUGGUGUAGGGGUGAAAUCCGUAGAUAUCACGAAGAACACCGGCGGCGAAAGCGACUGGCUGGACCGGAACUGACGCUCAGCUACGAAAGCGUAGGUAGCGAACAGGAUUAGAUACCCUGGUAGUCUACGCUGUAAUCGAUGUUCACUAGCCGGUGCGUGG
This 791-nucleotide ribosomal RNA is filed under the name uncultured bacterium. RNAcentral describes it as "bacterial SSU rRNA". It matches the Rfam family "Bacterial small subunit ribosomal RNA", at positions 43 to 830 of the family's 1533-position model. The record is from RNAcentral.